RNAcentral lists this ribosomal RNA (440 nucleotides) under uncultured bacterium. RNAcentral describes it as "partial 16S ribosomal RNA". It matches the Rfam family "Bacterial small subunit ribosomal RNA", at positions 338 to 795 of the family's 1533-position model. The record is from RNAcentral.
CCUACGGGCGGCAGCAGUGGGGAAUAUUGGACAAUGGGGGGAACCCUGAUCCAGCGACGCCGCGUGAGUGAAGAAGUAUUUCGGUAUGUAAAGCUCUAUCAGCAGGGAAGAAAAUGACGGUACCUGACUAAGAAGCCCCGGCUAACUACGUGCCAGCAGCCGCGGUAAUACGUAGGGGGCAAGCGUGAUCCGGAUUUACUGGGUGUAAAGGGAGCGUAGACGGUGCAGCAAGUCUGAAGUGAAAGCCCGGGGCUUAACCCCGGAACGGCUUUGGAAACUGAGCAGCUAGAGUGCUGGAGAGGUAAGCGGAAUUCCUAGUGUAGCGGUGAAAUGCGUAGAUAUUAGGAGGAACACCAGUGGCGAAGGCGGCUUACUGGACAGUAACUGACGUUGAGGCUCGAAAGCGUGGGGAGCAAACAGGAUUAGAUACCCGAGUAGUC